GGUAGCCUGGGAUAAUGGUUUGAGUGUUAGAGUACAACUCUGGAGACUAGGGUUCAAUUCCCAGCUCUAUCG
Molecule: non-coding RNA, 72 nt
Organism: Phrynosoma platyrhinos (Desert horned lizard)
Lineage: Eukaryota; Metazoa; Chordata; Lepidosauria; Squamata; Phrynosomatidae
Source: the annotation of a GenBank genome assembly